UACACCCACAUUCCUUUGCAGCACUUUGGAGUGGAUUAUAGACUGCCUUGAAUAUCUCACUUUCGUAUUCUGUGAGUCCCCAGACCUCAUCUUAUUUACCUGCUGCGUUAUUCUUUCACUUUCAAGGUUCUAGUCUCGAAUUUUAUUUGCUGAUCACUGUGCUUUUAAAUAAGAUAGCAAGAAUUAUGUGCUACCCGUCCUUCUGACUAUUUAUUGAGUAUUUACUAUGUGCCAAGGAUGUGAUCCAUCCCAAUCACCAUCCUUGGCUCCCUCUUGCCCUCAACUUACUCAGUUCCAACUAUUGGGACUUAUUCCCAUCUCAGAGCCUUUCCAUUUGUCUUCUGGCUGCCCGGAGUGCCCUUCCCCAGAACCUCUCACUGUUUACUUUCCUUAAUCUCAUGUCCUCAGAGAGACUUCUUCUGACCCAUCUCUCAUGUAUUUUCUCUCUAUCUUAUUAUCCCUCACUUUGUAUAGAGCACAUAUGAUUAUCUAAAAUCAACUUGUAACUUGUGCACAUAGUACGGUACUUGAUUUUUCAGUAGGUGCUCUGCCUUUUGAAUCAGUGAAUCAGUUGUGUCAGGCAAAUAGGCACCUGCCCUGCAUGCAUUGGAGAAGGAAAUGGCAACCCACUCCAGUGUUCUUGCCUGGAGAAUCCCAGGGACAGAGGAGCCUGGUGGGCUGCCGUCUAUGGGGUCACACAGAUUCGGACACGGCUGAAGCGACUUAGCAGCAGCUACUUAGUCUUUGCGGAGAAGACUGACAAUGCAGUUAACCCUCACUCUAUCUGCAGUUGUUUAUUCCCAUCAUUACAGCACUGAUGUGUUAGGACUUAGUUGAAGAGAGUUUUUGUCCCCUACCUACUGCAACAUUGCUAUUGAGGCACUCUCUGGCUGGAAGAUGAGACUCCGUUAUUCCAAAGCUUCAACCAGGCGCCAGAGG
This is a long non-coding RNA of Dama dama (fallow deer), 939 nucleotides long. RefSeq lists it as uncharacterized. The transcript is spliced from 3 exons. The record is from RefSeq and is a predicted model, not a curated record. NCBI's taxonomy places the organism in Eukaryota, Metazoa, Chordata, Mammalia, Artiodactyla, Cervidae.